Non-coding RNA from Sesamum indicum (sesame), 134 nucleotides. NCBI's taxonomy places the organism in Eukaryota, Viridiplantae, Streptophyta, Magnoliopsida, Lamiales, Pedaliaceae. The record is from RefSeq and is a predicted model, not a curated record.
AGAUGAAAAUGGAGUAGAAAGUCGAGUCUGCAAAAGCGAAACUUAUGUUGGGUUUGAAGGACAGGGAGGCUUUCACUUACAAGCAUAGAUCUGGAAAGGCAAGAAUACUGUCACACGUGGAAGGGGUGAAACAU